GAUGAACGCUAGCUACAGGCUUAACACAUGCAAGUCGAGGGGUAACGAGAGGAAAGCUUGCUUUCCUUGUCGACGACCGGCGCACGGGUGAGUAACCCGUAUCCAACCUGCCCCCAACUAGGGAAUAACCUUGCUAAAGUAAGACUAAUACCCUAUAAUUUCCUCAGAUGUCAUCUGACGAGGAAUAAAGAUUUAUCGGUUGUGGAUGGGGAUGCGUCUGAUUAGCUUGUUGGCGGGGUAACGGCCCACCAAGGCAACGAUCAGUAGGGGUUCUGAGAGGAAGGUCCCCCACAUUGGAACUGAGACACGGCCCAAACUCCUACGGGAGGCAGCAGUGAGGAAUAUUGGUCAAUGGGCGGAAGCCUGAACCAGCCAAGUAGCGUGCAGGAUGACGGCCCUAUGGGUUGUAAACUGCUUUUAUACAGGAAUAAAGUUAGCCACGUGUGGUUAUUUGUAGGUACUGUAUGAAUAAGGACCGGCUAAUUCCGUGCCAGCCGCCGCGGUAA
RNAcentral lists this ribosomal RNA (506 nucleotides) under uncultured bacterium. RNAcentral's name for it is "partial 16S ribosomal RNA". It matches the Rfam family "Bacterial small subunit ribosomal RNA", at positions 28 to 523 of the family's 1533-position model. The record is from RNAcentral.